UCGCCCUUUGUACACACCGCCCGUCGCUACUACCGAUUGAAUGGCUCAGUGAGGCGUUCGGACUGGCUCGGGGAGGUUGGCAACGACCACCCCAAGCCGGAAAGUUCGUCAAACUCGGUCAUUUAGAGGAAGUAAAAGUCGUAACAAGGUCUCCGUAGGUGAACCUGCGGAGGGAUCAUUACACAAUACAAUAUGAAGGCCCGUAACACGGCUGGAUUAUUUUAUUACCCUUGUCUUUUGCGCACUUGCGUUUCCUGGGCGGGUUUCGCCCGCCACCAGGACCACACCAUAAACCUUUUUUAUGCAGUUGCAAUCAGCGUCAGUACAACAAAUGUAAAUCAUUUACAACUUUCAACAACGGAUCUCUUGGUUCUGGCAUCGAUGAAGAACGCAGCGAAAUGCGAUACGUAGUGUGAAUUGCAGAAUUCAGUGAAUCAUCGAAUCUUUGAACGCACAUUGCGCCCUUUGGUAUUCCAAAGGGCAUGCCUGUUCGAGCGUCAUUUGUACCCUCAAGCUUUGCUUGGUGUUGGGCGUUUUUUUGUCUUUGGUUAUGCCAAAGACUCGCCUUAAAACGAUUGGCAGCCGGCCUCCUGGUUUCGCAGCGCAGCACAUUUUUGCGCUUGCAAUCAGCAAUAUAGGGCGGCACUCCAUCAAGACACUUUUUUUCACGUUUGACCUCGGAUCAGGUAGGGAUACCCGCUGAACUUAAGCAUAUCAAUAAGCGGAGGAAAAGAAACCAACAGGGAUUGCCCUAGUAACGGCGAGUGAAGCGGCAACAGCUCAAAUUUGAAAUCUGGCUCUUUUAGAGUCCGAGUUGUAAUUUGCAGAGGGCGCUUUGGCUUUGGCAGCGGUCCAAGUUCCUUGGAACAGGACGUCACAGAGGGUGAGAAUCCCGUACGUGGUCGCUAGCUAUUGCCGUG
RNAcentral lists this ribosomal RNA (920 nucleotides) under uncultured Ascomycota. RNAcentral's name for it is "eukaryotic LSU rRNA". The stretch from base 673 to 920 matches the Rfam family "Eukaryotic large subunit ribosomal RNA", at positions 1 to 246 of the family's 3401-position model. Lineage: Eukaryota; Fungi; Ascomycota. The record is from RNAcentral.